This is an RNA transcript of Scylla paramamosain (green mud crab), 2281 nucleotides long. It is a transcript of the gene named band 4.1-like protein 4, with no coding region annotated. The record is from RefSeq and is a predicted model, not a curated record. NCBI's taxonomy places the organism in Eukaryota, Metazoa, Arthropoda, Malacostraca, Decapoda, Portunidae. The transcript has 10 exons.
UUGUCCUAUUGACCAAUGGUAUCACGGCACGUCACGGUGGUGGUGGUGGUGGUGGUGGGAUAGGAGGCAGGCUGGCAGGGAGACCUCAUCACGGCUCACUCCUCAGUUCAUACUUGACCACCGCGGUGGACUGUGAGUGUAAAUACUAUAGCUGGGUUUAUUUUACUUCAGUUUUACGUGUACAGGACAAUACAGCGGCGCAGAUUGUGUUCCUAUGGAUUUUUUUAUUACUGUAGUGUUGGCAGCGUGUGGAGUGUGGCAGAACGGCAGAGGUCACACAGCAGCUCAUCCCACAGCAGGCUGCCCUCCCCUGUGCCGCCACCACCACCACCACCACUACCAGUGAGGGAGGAGGCAGAGGUACAGCUCACCAAAUUGUCAGAUGAUGGAGAGAAGAAUUUUCUCACCUUGAAGAUAGAGGAGAAGAGCAAACUGGAGGAAACCAACUGGGAGGAGGAGGAAAAACUUUGCUCCAGUCUAAUGGAGAGAGAGAGAGAGAGAGAGAGAGAGAGAGAGAGAGAGAGAGAGAGAGAGAGAGAGAGAGAGAGAGAGAGAGAGAAGGAAAAUUCACAGGAGCAAAGGUCAGUCAGUCUCUCUCUCUCUCUCUCUCUCUCUCUCUCUCUCUCUCUCUCUCUCUCUCUCUCUCUCUCUCUCUCUCUCUCUCUCUCUCUCUCCCUUGCCCCUACAGAUUCCCACGCUGCUGUACCACGGGAUGGAGAGUGAGAGAGUGGAGAAGAGGGAGCUGAUCAGAAGGGCUGUGGAAGUGGAAGGGUGCCCUGUCCGAGUCCUGCCAGUCCUGUUAUGACGUCCUAUGAGGGAGAAGACAACAUCGAGUACUUUUUGGGCCUCACACCAGCUGGGGUCGUUGUACUCAAAAAUAAGGCGAAAGUGGGGAAUUAUUUUUGUCCGAGAAUUUCCAAGGUGUAUUUUCGUGGGAGAUUUUUCAGAGUGAAAGAUAAAAAUAGCUUGGAGAACACCUACGGCUUGGAGACACCCAGUAAGUCAGCCUGUAAACACCUGUGGCAGUGCUUCUUCAGAUUGACUCAAGCUUCUGGGAAUUCUACGGAUGCUGUCUUCUCCCUUGGAGCUAAGAUUGGGUCACAGCAAGAAGGAUGGUGAGGUGAGGCAGGCCAGGCUCAACUCAAGGAUGCAGCCAGAAUUUACAAGGAUGCCAAGUAGGAGAUACCCAGUAAGUCAGCCUGUAAACACCUGUAGCAGUCUCCCUGCCCCUCCCUGCCUCCCCCAGAGCUUGGAGAACACCUACGGCGUGGAGACACCCAGUAAGUCAGCCUGUAAACACCUGUGGCAGUUCUGUGUUGAGCAUCACGCCUUCUUCAGAUUAACUCAAGCUUCUGGGAAUUCUGCAGAUGCUGUCUUCUCCCUCAGAGGAGGAUUGUGGAAAGUGCACAGGACAGCAAAACAUUUUUCGAUCAAGUUCUAUGACGUUAGGGGGUCGCAGCUCCUCCCCCCACAGCACCAGUUCAGCCUCGCAUCCCCCCAUUACCACCACCACCACCACCACCAGGGUACAAGGAGAGAGUCUCAAGUCCCUCCAGUCAACUACUAUUACUACUACUUCUGGUGGUCAUGACUAUUGGGUGUUGAGAAGGGCCUCCAGUGUGGAUAGUCAGUUGUCGGUGGACUCCAGGGCUCACAGAUCAGGCAGCAGCAAGCCUCAGUGGGCCCAGGUCACAGUGGGUCACACUCAGGUCAGAGGUCACAUGGCCACAGUGCACGACCUGACACACAAGAGUGGGUACCACCCUUCAGGUGUGGACACGGAGGUUGACUCCCUCCACCACCACCACCACCACCACCACUCGGCUAACAAGAAACAACAUCACAAACACCGUAACUCCAGUGAUUGGAAGGCUACCCUCCCCCUGUGGAUGGAGAGAGCCCUCCCCUCCAUACACGCCAUCCACGCACUCCAAGAACCAUACACUUCCGAAGGGCUGCAGUAAGGUGCAUGUGUGUGUGUGUGUGUGUGUGUGUGUGUGUGUGUGUGUGUGUGUGUGUGUGUGUGUGUGUGUGUUGUUGUUGUUGUUGUUGUUGUUGUUGUUGUUGUUGUUGUUGUUGUUGCUGUUGUUGCUGUUGUUGUUGUUGUUGUUGUUGUUGUUGUUGUUGUUGUUGUUUUGCAGGAGGGGACAGUGGAGGGAAGAAUACCAGAUGGAGCUGUAGGAGGCAGAGAAGGAGGAGGAGGAGGAGGAGGAGGAGGAGGCUUCAGCUCAAAGGCAUUAUAUUGUAAAAAAAAAAAUGUGUGUGUGUGUCCAGUUCUUCC